RNAcentral lists this ribosomal RNA (301 nucleotides) under uncultured bacterium. Its description in RNAcentral is "partial 16S ribosomal RNA". It matches the Rfam family "Bacterial small subunit ribosomal RNA", at positions 509 to 807 of the family's 1533-position model. The record is from RNAcentral.
CAGUCGCCGCGGUAAUACAGAGGGUGCAAGCGUUAAUCGGAAUUACUGGGCGUAAAUCGCGCGUAGGUGGUUUGUUAAGUUGGAUGUGAAAGCCCCGGGCUCAACCUGGGAACUGCAUCCAAAACUGGCAAGCUAGAGUACGGUAGAGGGUGGUGGAAUUUCCUGUGUAGCGGUGAAAUGCGUAGAUAUAGGAAGGAACACCAGUGGCGAAGGCGACCACCUGGACUGAUACUGACACUGAGGUGCGAAAGCGUGGGGAGCAAACAGGAUUAGAUACCCCCGUAGUCCCUGUCUCUUAUAC